GGUCUAGCUCAGUGUUAGAGCAAAUGCUUAGUAUGCAUUAGGACUUGAGUUCGAGCUCAGCACCA
Molecule: transfer RNA, 65 nt
Filed under: Heterocephalus glaber (naked mole-rat)
Lineage: Eukaryota; Metazoa; Chordata; Mammalia; Rodentia; Bathyergidae
Rfam family: tRNA
About the family: Transfer RNA (tRNA) molecules are approximately 80 nucleotides in length. Their secondary structure includes four short double-helical elements and three loops (D, anti-codon, and T loops). Further hydrogen bonds mediate the characteristic L-shaped molecular structure. tRNAs have two regions of fundamental functional importance: the anti-codon, which is responsible for specific mRNA codon recognition, and the 3' end, to which the tRNAs corresponding amino acid is attached (by aminoacyl-tRNA synthetases). tRNAs cope with the degeneracy of the genetic code in two manners: having more than one tRNA (with a specific anti-codon) for a particular amino acid; and 'wobble' base-pairing, i.e. permitting non-standard base-pairing at the 3rd anti-codon position.
Source: Rfam by way of RNAcentral